GACGAACGCUGGCGGCGUGCCUAAUACAUGCAAGUCGAGCGGACCAAAGGGAGCUUGCUCCUGGAGGUUAGCGGCGAACGGGUGAGUAACACGUGGGCAACCUGCCUGUAAGACUGGGAUAACAUCGAGAAAUCGGUGCUAAUACCGGAUAAUAAAAAGAACUGUAUGGUUCUUUUUUGUAAAGAAUGGUUUCGGCUAUCACUUACAGAUGGGCCCGCGGCGCAUUAGCUAGUUGGUGAGGUAACGGCUCACCAAGGCGACGAUGCGUAGCGACCUGAGAGGGUGAUCGGCCACACUGGGACUGAGACACGGCCCAGACUCCUACGGGAGGCAGCAGUAGGGAAUCUUCCGCAAUGGACGAGAGUCUGACGGAGCAACGCCGCGUGAGUGAUGAAGGUUUUCGGAUCGUAAAACUCUGUUGUUAGGGAAGAACAAGUGCCGUUCGAAAGGGCGGCACCUUGACGGUACCUAACGAGAAGACCACGGCUAACUACGUGCCAGCAGCCGCGGUAAAGC
RNAcentral lists this ribosomal RNA (516 nucleotides) under uncultured bacterium. RNAcentral describes it as "bacterial SSU rRNA". It matches the Rfam family "Bacterial small subunit ribosomal RNA", at positions 28 to 526 of the family's 1533-position model. The record is from RNAcentral.